UGGGGAAUAUUGCACAAUGGGCGCAAGCCUGAUGCAGCCAUGCCGCGUGUGUGAAGAAGGCCUUCGGGUUGUAAAGCACUUUCAGCGAGGAGGAAGGUGGUGAACUUAAUACGUUCAUCAAUUGACGUUACUCGCAGAAGAAGCACCGGCUAACUCCGUGCCAGCAGCCGCGGUAAUACGGAGGGUGCAAGCGUUAAUCGGAAUUACUGGGCGUAAAGCGCACGCAGGCGGUUUGUUAAGUCAGAUGUGAAAUCCCCGGGCUCAACCUGGGAACUGCAUUUGAAACUGGCAAGCUAGAGUCUCGUAGAGGGGGGUAGAAUUCCAGGUGUAGCGGUGAAAUGCGUAGAGAUCUGGAGGAAUACCGGUGGCGAAGGCGGCCCCCUGGACGAAGACUGACGCUCAGGUGCGAAAGGCGUGGGGCAGCAAACAGGAUUAGAUACCCUGGUAGUCCACGCUGUAAACGAUGUCGAUUUUGGAGGUUGUGCCCCUUGAGGCGUGGCUUCCGGAGCUAACGCGUUAAA
This 521-nucleotide ribosomal RNA is filed under the name uncultured bacterium. RNAcentral describes it as "partial 16S ribosomal RNA". It matches the Rfam family "Bacterial small subunit ribosomal RNA", at positions 355 to 864 of the family's 1533-position model. The record is from RNAcentral.